GACGAACGCUGGCGGCGUGCCUAAUACAUGCAAGUUGAGCGCUGAAGGUUGGUACUUGUACCAACUGGAUGAGCAGCGAACGGGUGAGUAACGCGUGGGGAAUCUGCCUUUGAGCGGGGGACAACAUUUGGAAACGAAUGCUAAUACCGCAUAAAAACUUUAAACACAAGUUUUAAGUGUGAAAGAUGCAAUUGCAUCACUCAAAGAUGAUCCCGCGUUGUAUUAGCUAGUUGGUGAGGUAAAGGCUCACCAAGGCGAUGAUACAUAGCCGACCUGAGAGGGUGGUCUGCCACACUGGGACUGAGACACGGCCCAAACUCCUACGGGAGGCAGCAGUAGGGAAUCUUCGGCAAUGGACGAAAGUCUGACCGAGCAACGCCGCGUGAGUGAAGAAGGUUUUCGGAUCGUAAAACUCUGUUGGUAGAGAAGAACGUUGGUGAGAGUGGAAAGCUCAUCAAGUGACGGUAACUACCCAGAAAGGGACGGCUAACUACGUG
RNAcentral lists this ribosomal RNA (497 nucleotides) under uncultured bacterium. RNAcentral's name for it is "partial 16S ribosomal RNA". It matches the Rfam family "Bacterial small subunit ribosomal RNA", at positions 28 to 507 of the family's 1533-position model. The record is from RNAcentral.